CUUGCUAGGGAAGUAAAAUGUGUCUAUCUGGCAUUUACGUCCGUACUCAUCUUCACAGUUUGGUCCUGUUGAGAGGAAAUCCUGCUCAGGAAGAGGGUUGACACACAAUGAGCGUCCGCUAGAUACGUUUCUUUUGAUGGCAUUUUAUACUGUACAUCUUAUGACUGGAUUGGAUAGUUGCAGUUGGUCUAGUUUACGUCAUAUAAAAAACCUAAUUAAAUUAACUAAUUAACUACCUGCAAUUGCCAUGUUGGAUGAGCCUGUGUCAAUCAGAAAUUCAAGCUGUAAAGUAAAAUAAUUCAUUGUGAAUAAUAAUUUUACAAAACGGUUGGUCUUGGUUAGACCUUUAUUACUCGGCUCUUUAUUAGUGAAAGUACAGUAGUACCUCUUUCACCCUAAGUGGAUUAAACCAGUUUUAACGUUGUUAGGUAGAAGAAAARAAGCGUUAAAACUGGCUUGAUCCAAAAUCUCACCACACAGGGCGAAAGAGGUACUACUUUUCACAGUUCGACGAUUUUCUUGAGGUUUUUAAGCAUCGCAUACAUUUUCUCAUAAUAUGACACCACAGAAACCUAGCUUGGGCUACCUGUGGAACGGAGGGCAAAAAUGACCUCUGCAAGCAGGGAAACUGAUGCGAAACAUAACAGUUUUACACGAUAAAAUAAAAAUUCAUAUUUACAUUUAGAUA
Actinia tenebrosa (Australian red waratah sea anemone) is the source of this 688-nucleotide long non-coding RNA. RefSeq lists it as uncharacterized. The record is from RefSeq and is a predicted model, not a curated record. NCBI's taxonomy places the organism in Eukaryota, Metazoa, Cnidaria, Anthozoa, Actiniaria, Actiniidae.